UUUGUCGAUCCACGUGGGAUU
Molecule: non-coding RNA, 21 nt
Filed under: Caenorhabditis elegans
Lineage: Eukaryota; Metazoa; Nematoda; Chromadorea; Rhabditida; Rhabditidae
Source: RNAcentral